This 424-nucleotide ribosomal RNA is filed under the name uncultured bacterium. RNAcentral describes it as "bacterial SSU rRNA". It matches the Rfam family "Bacterial small subunit ribosomal RNA", at positions 358 to 773 of the family's 1533-position model. The record is from RNAcentral.
GGAAUCUCGCGCAAUGGGCGAAAGCCUGACGCAGCGACGCCGCGUGGGUGAUGAAGGCCUUCGGGUCGUAAAGCCCUGUCGGGAGGGAAGAAAUCUCGUCGGUCUAAUAUGCCGACGACUUGACGGUACCUCUUAGGGAAGCACCGGCUAACUCCGUGCCCGCAGCCGCGGUAAUACGGAGGGUGCAAGCGUUGUCCGGAAUCACUGGGCGUAAAGCGCGUGUAGGCGGCCAUCUAAGUCUGGUGUGAAAGCCCUGGGCUCAACUCAGGAAGUGCACUGGAUACUGGAUGGCUGGAGUACCGGAGAGGAGGGUGGAAUUCCUGGUGUAGCGGUGAAAUGCGUAGAUAUCAGGAGGAACACCGGUGGCGAAGGCGUCCCUCUGGCCGGAUACUGACGCUGAGACGCGAAAGCGUGGGGAGCAAAC